CAGUAGCCGCGGGAAUACAGAGGGUGCGAGCGUUAAUCGGAUUUACUGGGCGUAAAGCGUGCGUAGGCGGCUUUUUAAGUCGGAUGUGAAAUCCCUGAGCUUAACUUAGGAAUUGCAUUCGAUACUGGGAAGCUAGAGUAUGGGAGAGGAUGGUAGAAUUCCAGGUGUAGCGGUGAAAUGCGUAGAGAUCUGGAGGAAUACCGAUGGCGAAGGCAGCCAUCUGGCCUAAUACUGACGCUGAGGUACGAAAGCAUGGGGAGCAAACAGGAUUAGAUACCCCCGUAGUCCCUGUCUCUAUACA
Molecule: ribosomal RNA, 301 nt
Filed under: uncultured bacterium
Lineage: Bacteria
Description: partial 16S ribosomal RNA
Rfam family: Bacterial small subunit ribosomal RNA
Source: RNAcentral